RNAcentral lists this ribosomal RNA (20 nucleotides) under Cytospora chrysosperma. RNAcentral describes it as "Valsa sordida partial 18S rRNA". The record is from RNAcentral. Lineage: Eukaryota; Fungi; Ascomycota; Sordariomycetes; Diaporthales; Cytosporaceae.
AUUGCUGGAAGCGCCGCAAG